RNAcentral lists this ribosomal RNA (481 nucleotides) under uncultured bacterium. RNAcentral describes it as "partial 16S ribosomal RNA". It matches the Rfam family "Bacterial small subunit ribosomal RNA", at positions 28 to 507 of the family's 1533-position model. The record is from RNAcentral.
GAUGAACGCUGGCGGCGUGCUUAACACAUGCAAGUCGAACGAAGCACUUUAUUUGAUUUCCUUCGGGACUGAUUAUUUUGUGACUGAGUGGCGGACGGGUGAGUAACGCGUGGGUAACCUGCCUUGUACAGGGGGAUAACAGUUGGAAACGGCUGCUAAUACCGCAUAAGCGCACAGCAUCGCAUGAUGCAGUGUGAAAAACUCCGGUGGUAUACGAUGGACCCGCGUUGGAUUAGCUAGUUGGUGAGGUAACGGCCCACCAAGGCGACGAUCCAUAGCCGACAUGAGAGGGUGACCGGCCACAUUGGGACUGAGACACGGUCCAAACUCCUACGGGAGGCAGCAGUGGGGAAUAUUGCACAAUGGGCGAAAGCCUGAUGCAGCGACGCCGCGUGAGCGAAGAAGUAUUUCGGUAUGUAAAGCUCUAUCAGCAGGGAAGAUAAUGACGGUACCUGACUAAGAAGCACCGGCUAAAUACGUG